UAGGGAAUCUUCGGCAAUGGACGGAAGUCUGACCGAGCAACGCCGCGUGAGUGAAGAAGGUUUUCGGAUCGUAAAGCUCUGUUGUAAGAGAAGAACGAGUGUGAGAGUGGAAAGUUCACACUGUGACGGUAUCUUACCAGAAAGGGACGGCUAACUACGUGCCAGCAGCCGCGGUAAUACGUAGGUCCCGAGCGUUGUCCGGAUUUAUUGGGCGUAAAGCGAGCGCAGGCGGUUAGAUAAGUCUGAAGUUAAAGGCUGUGGCUUAACCAUAGUACGCUUUGGAAACUGUUUAACUUGAGUGCAAGAGGGGAGAGUGGAAUUCCAUGUGUAGCGGUGAAAUGCGUAGAUAUAUGGAGGAACACCGGUGGCGAAAGCGGCUCUCUGGCUUGUAACUGACGCUGAGGCUCGAAAGCGUGGGGAGCAAACAGGAUUAGAUACCCUGGUAGUCCACGCCGUAAACGAUGAGUGCUAGGUGCUAGACCCUUUCCGGGGUUUAGUGCCGCAGCUAACGCAUUAAGCACUCCGCCUGGGGAGUACGACCGCAAGGUUG
This 550-nucleotide ribosomal RNA is filed under the name uncultured bacterium. RNAcentral's name for it is "bacterial SSU rRNA". It matches the Rfam family "Bacterial small subunit ribosomal RNA", at positions 355 to 896 of the family's 1533-position model. The record is from RNAcentral.